GGUGAGGUGUCCGAGUGGCUGAAGGAGCACGCUUGGAAAGUGUGUAUACGGCAACGUAUCGGGGGUUCGACAACUGGCGAUAGCCAGUUGGACAGACCGUGAACGCAGUGAGCGGGCUGCCCGCAGGGCGAGCGAAGCGAGUCAAUCCCCCCCCUCACCGCCA
RNAcentral lists this transfer RNA (163 nucleotides) under Escherichia coli. RNAcentral's name for it is "tRNA-Ser". Lineage: Bacteria; Pseudomonadati; Pseudomonadota; Gammaproteobacteria; Enterobacterales; Enterobacteriaceae. The record is from RNAcentral.